Molecule: long non-coding RNA, 4622 nt
Filed under: Sus scrofa (pig)
Lineage: Eukaryota; Metazoa; Chordata; Mammalia; Artiodactyla; Suidae
Description: lncRNA (ENSSSCG00025038215.1)
Source: RNAcentral
AGCUUUACUAGGCGUUGGAACACCUCUUGCAAGUCCCUGAGGGAAGAAUGUUCUCGGCGUGUUCCUGGAAGGCCAGUGUGGCUGGAAUGGAGUGCCUGUGGGAGGAGGUAGGACAGGGUCCAGGCUGAAGCUAAGCAGGCGUUGAAGGAAUUUGGGGUUGAUUUUAAUUGGGACGGGAAACCAUGUAAGGAAGAUUUGUUUGGUUGUUUCUAGGAGGGGCGAGCCCUGAUCACCCACAUAUAUGCAUGCAGAGGAGAGGAGCUGGCUGGGCCUGGUCAGUGGUGGGUGGAUUCCUGGAUUCAAGUUCAAGUUGACGUGAUCAAGGUGGUCCAUGAGCUUGCUCUUGCCCUGCCAGGGGCUCCUGGCUCCUUCCCCUCCCUCCUGAUAGUGAAGGGUAUUCCCUCCGAGUGUAAGCAGCACAACGCAAGAGACGUGCACGCCCGCUUCUCGCGCAUCUGUGAUUCGCGGUGUACCUGUGUCAGUGUUGAGUCUUCCCAGGAGAACCUGGAAUCCGGGAACCACGGUCUACAUAUUCGAGUGUGUGAUCCUGCUGAUGUGAAUAUCUGAGCGCUCGCUCAGGGACGGGUCCGCGUUUGUUAUCCGCCCGGCUCUGCAGCAUCUUUCUGUUCAGACUCAUCCAGGUGCACAUCUGGACGCCUACGCAUUUAGUCAGGUGUCCCUUUUAGGAGGGACCGUUUGAUAGGCAGACUAAUUUGUGACCCCCCUUGAUCAAAUGGCAAAAGUACUCACUUUCCCAUCUUGCAAAGCACCUUAGUAAUUACCCAACUGUGGAAUUGUCACUCUUGUGGUAAAGGCCUUACGACGUUUUCUCCGUGACCCUGUUUUACCCGUGUUCUAGUGGACAGGGUGGUCCACACUGAGGUCUAACAGAAGCCCACUGGCGAUAAGCGUUCCCCUUGUCAAAAAUUCAGUUUGAUCAUUGAAAAUUAUUAAAGUAUUGUUUUGGUCCUCUUUCUACUUUGGCAUGAUUUUAACUCUGGGUCAAAUAGCAGCACAACUCAAAACAUUACCUGGCUCUGUCUCUUGCUCACGAUACUCCAAGACCCUGGCUUUCCCGUUUGCAGCCACCGUUUUUGAACUUGCUGUUUGCUCUGCCUCGGACACUCUUCCCAAGACCACAUAGCUGUGCCCUUCAUUUGCUUAAGGUUUCUGUACAGAUGUCCACUUCCAGCGGCCUUUCCUGGCCAUCUUCUGUUAAAUGGGUACCCCACACGGCACUAUUCCUUGGGCUCUGCAUUGUUUUUCUCUGUAGGGUCACCCCCCUUGGCGUGCUGUUUAUUUACUUGAUGACUUGUUUAUUGCCUCACUGUCUCGAAUAUCAGCUCCAAGAGAGCAAGGCCUUUGUUUUGAGAAUUGCUUGUAUCCUGAGUCCCUAGAAGAGCGCUGUUUACAGAGGAGUCAGCCAGUAUUUUAGAAACUGAAUUAUGAUGAUUAAUGGCUUCUGAAGUCAAGUUCACGCUCUAGACCCUAUGACCAGCAUCUGCUCACCAACUGAGCUUGGUUGCCAUAAAAAUAUUAAAGGCCCAAAGUAAGCAAUCUUUCUUUCCACAGAUGUGUACAAGACAGUUUUCUUCGGAUGUCGGGCUUUCUCUCUUAGGAAAGAAAAAUUUGCAAGCCUGACGAACAGAGCGUAUUAGAGGGACUCUAAAUCCUUGCUCCUCGGAGUGCGGUCUGCCCACCAGCAGCGCUGGCAUCGCCCCAGGCUUAUCGCAAAUGCAGGAUCUCAGGGUUUCCCCAACCUGAUAAAAGUGAACCUGCAUUUAGUGGAGGUGAUUCUUGUGUAUAAAGUUGGAGAAGAACAGCUCUAAGUCGCCCGUCUUUGACCUAAAAAUAUCAGAUCUUUUAGAACUUGGUCACUUAACUUGGUUUGGAAAUGGUGGCUAACGAGGGGACCAGUUAAAGCACUCCGUAUUCACAUUUUUUCUUUUUUUGUUGAAAACAGAAACUGAUUUUGAGUUGGCCACUUAAUCUCCCUGUCCUCGAGUUCUUUCUGUGUGUUUGGGUGUGCGUGUUCAUGUUUGUGUGUGUGUUUGGGGUGGGCCUUCCGGGGCCAAGGCAGAGCAGAGCAGUGGGCGUCUUCAGCCCUCCUCCCUCCCCACUCCCAGCUCCUCUCCUUCUAGUGAUCUGGGGGGAUGGGGACCAGGCUCUGUUUGAAGAGAGCCUGGUCCCCAGAAAGAAUUGCAGCUGAUGAGUUAGACGGAAAAAAAUACUCGUGCUUGAGCUCUUGCUCCACGUCAGGCGCUGUCUCUGAGUUUCACAUCAUCUGCUUAUGCAGUCCCAGCCACAGCUUGAUAAGGUGAUGCUAUCGUGGUCCUCAUUUUAGGUUGUAGAAACCCAGGCCUGGGAGGAAUCAGUCCUCUGUCAAGGUCACACAGCUACUGAGGGCAGGAGCUGGGAUUCCAGCGGGAGCAGCCUGGCCCUCCGACCUGAGCACGUCACUAUUUCUGAGGGAGAAUCUUGCAGAUUUACCAUCAUCUCUUAGGAGCAUGGGUGGCAGAAGUGUCGGUCAAAGGCCGUUGUAGUUUCUUCAUUGAGACUGAGAGUAUGCAGGGCUGAAUUUUGAGCUGAGCAGCGAGCUGGCUUGCUUUGUUUUGAGGCUCCUCUUUAAACCGUUUUGUUAUGCAAAGCUGCUAAUGUGAGUUUCCAGCCCACGUCUCUCUGGCAGGGUAAACACAUUGUAUAUGUUUGUUAGUCACUGUAACUACAAACAAGCAGGAUGGCCUGAGAUGGUCCAAGGGGCUCUAGCCAACCUUCGGCCCGAGCACGAGCACACGUGGGGCACGAGCACGCAGGUAGAGGAAGCACAAGGGCAAUGCCACCGCAGUCCCACGACGACUCUGGGGAGGCAGGAGGCGAGAGUGAGGAGGAACCCACGACGCGUGUCUAACACCUGUGCCGGGGGCUCACAUCCAUUGUCUUGUUGAAUCUUCACAUCUCGCCAGUGAGGUGGUAACACCUCCUUCAGCUUACAAAAGAGAAACACCAAGGUUCGGAGCCACCGAGUAACUUGCUCUGUGUCUUACAACUCACCGCUGUAAAUGAUGGAGGCAGGAUUCAAAGCAGGUUCCCCUGACCCAGAGUUUCUCCUCUUCUCCAUUGAGCACUUUGGAGAAACACUGGCAGGUGCAUACGGUGAAAUGUUUGAAGUAUUAGAAACACAGAUUUCAAGAAUUCCCAUCGUAGCUCAGCGGAAACGAAUCUGACCGGCAUCUAUGAGGACACAGGUCUCGCUCUGUGGGUUAAGGAUCCGGUGUUGCCGUGAGUUGUGGUGUAGGUCCAAGAUCCACCAGCCUGCACCCACAGCCACAGCCACACAGGAUCUGAGCCACCUCUUUGAUCCACACUGCAGCUCACAGCGAGCCGGACUGUUAACACACUGAGUGAGGCCAGGGAUCAAACCUGCGUCCCCGGGAAAGUAGUCAGAUUCGUUUCCGCUGAGCCACGACAGGAACUCCUUUAUUUAUUUUUUUUAACGACAAUGCAAUCAUAUAUUCAAAAUACCUCUGGAAGAGGAGUUUUUCUUUGUUUUGGUCUUGCCCUUGGGGUGCAGACGUUCCCAGCCAGGGACUGAGCCCGAGCCCGUAGCCGUGACAAUGCCAGGUCCUUCACCUGCUGUGCCGCCAGGGAACUCCAAAGAAGUUUGACCGGGACGCCUGUAGCGGGUCAGUGGAAAAGCAAAUGCCUCUGUAGAGGGGAGGGCCUCGUGCUGCCCACCUGGUCUGGAGCCCAAGGGCGGCCACCAGCCUGGCUUCUGACUCAUCCCGAGAGUGUGAUGAUCUUGGUCUUGGUCAAGGCCCCCGAUGAGGCUGCCAUUAGCUGUCGUUACGCGAGGGUGUCUGGUUUAGAGGAUGCAACAGAACAAGAAGAUGUUUCCAGACAAGUCCCCGCCUCCAGCGUGGAGGUCACUCCUGCUUUGGGCACAUCCGGUGCUCUAGUCAAGCCAGGCUGGUCGCUUUCCCCGCAAACGCUGCCGCCACCCCUUCCCCCCUGCGCCUUUCCUCUUAGCCGGCACGUCUGUCUGAAAGGACUUCCCUUCCCUUUCCACCUGCCAAACGCCGUGUUGAGAGGCUGGCUGAUGCGGAGUCGGGGGAGCAGGAGAUGGUCGCGGCCGCGCUGGGCCGCCGCCCCUCCGUCUCCACUUCCCUCCCGCCGGCGGGCUCGGGGCGGACCCGCCGCCUUCCCGCUCAGCUCCCGCAGCGCUUUUCACGGCUUCGUUAAAUUCUCGUUUUUACAGCGAUGACUGUCCGUUUGGAUCCGCUAGGGAAGAAAAAACUGCCGUCUUAGUCACGCGCUUGUUCAUUGCGCAUGUCCUCUCCCUCCCGUUGCUCUUGUUCCACCUCGCUUUGUAUGUAACAGUCAGAUACUGUCUUGAAGAUAAAUUUUAUUAUUAACAUGAAAGUUCAAGGCCCAUGGUGUGUCCGUUUUGAACUGUCUGCAAAGGGAGGUUAAAGCAAAGACAGUAACACCCAGAGCUCCCGUCGUGGCGCAGCGGUAACGAACCCCGCUAGGAUCCGUGAGCAUGUGGGUUCCACCCCUGGCCCCACGCCGUGGGUUAAGGACCCGGCGUUGCCAUGAGCUGUGGUGGAGGUUGACAGCUGCAG